RNAcentral lists this long non-coding RNA (1173 nucleotides) under Sus scrofa (pig). RNAcentral describes it as "lncRNA (ENSSSCG00060061580.1)". Lineage: Eukaryota; Metazoa; Chordata; Mammalia; Artiodactyla; Suidae. The record is from RNAcentral.
AAAGAGGCUCAGCUGGGAGGGUGGACUCGGCCUUCCCAGGCCUUCUCAGGCCUUCUCCAGGCUCUCUCUGCAAGCAGCACCGCUGUGAGGGGCAGGGGUCCCUUUCUUGCCCCUGAGAAGCAGCGCCCCUGCCCCCCGGGGUGAGCAGCCCCCUCCGCUGGCACCAAACUGGGGCCAUCUCUUAGCAGGACGGGAGUUCAGCUGGGCGACUGACUCACCCUUGUUCCUGGAACUGUCUGAAGGCGGGAGAGGAUGCUGUGGAAACGAAGUGCCAAAUAAGACGAACCCUCCUUCGAGCUCAUCUGCACACGCAGCUAAGUAAAGAAACACAAGUGUAUUUGUAUUUCGCUGGCGUCAGGCUGGAAACUUGGCACCCGCGUUCCCUCUGCCCACCCCCUCGCCACCCGACUUCCGUCGGUCCCCGACGCCUCUCAAGGGCUUUUUAUUUCUCCAUCUUCUCCCUUCCUCCCCACUGCCCGCCACGAAGAAACGCCCGGAUGGUCCCCUUUCAAUCGUUCCUAGGGGUCACUGUCAAAGUCACCUUCUGAGAAUCCCUGUGCACACAGGACAGACUGCCUCUCAGAGACACGCCGUGGCUGCCCAGGGCCGCAGGGCAAGGCCCUAAUUCGAGUCUAGAACCAAGACCCUCUCACUUGUGGCCCAAACCUGCACCCCGCACGACGCCUUCACUCCAGCCAGGUGGAUCCGCGCCUUGAACCACCCGCUUCCAGGCCUCCGCUCCCUCCAUGUGCUAAUGCUCAAGCCCUUCCCCUGCUCUUCUUCACGUCCCCAAACCCUGGUCACCUUCAAGGUCAAGCUCAUGCCCCAUCGUCUCAAUGAACUUCUCCAACACGACUCUGACUCUCCGAGGCCGUGUGUGCUCAACUGAGUCCAUUAAAUUAAAACACUCACCAGAGCCAGCAAACUGCAGAAGCUGUUCAAGUUUCUCUCUCUAAACCCACAGUCCCAGCCUCAUCCUCACCCCCUGUUACUCCCUCUGGUCCCCCGGACGCCGCCUUCUGGCUCAUCUGGGCGAUGGUCCCCAGCGUCCUUCCAUCUGAGCAGCUGCUUCCUCCAAGGGCAGCGCAUCUCCCGCUCCCGAGCUGUUCUGGAGCGAGUCGGGGUGCUUCCAGGCAGGGCUGUGCCCCGUUCACCUCUGAGUCCAGAGCAGGG